This 291-nucleotide unclassified non-coding RNA is filed under the name air metagenome. Its description in RNAcentral is "partial contains small subunit ribosomal RNA, internal transcribed spacer 1, and 5.8S ribosomal RNA". The stretch from base 1 to 46 matches the Rfam family "Eukaryotic small subunit ribosomal RNA", at positions 1786 to 1831 of the family's 1831-position model. The record is from RNAcentral.
AAGUCGUAACAAGGUUUCCGUAGGUGAACCUGCGGAAGGAUCAUUAUCUAUAACCGGGUGUGGCUGCGGCCUCCGGGGGCGUGGGCGUCGAGACGAUGCCCUCUCUUCCGGGUGGUAGAGGUAAAACUCUCACGCGCCACAUGUCUGAAUCCUUUUUUUACGAGCACCUUUCGUUCUCCUUCGGUGGGGUGACCUGCCGUUGGAACCCAUCAAAACUCUUUUUGCAUCUAGCAUUACCUGUUCUGAUACAAACAAUCGUUACAACUUUCAACAAUGGAUCUCUUGGCUCUG